CUUGCUUCUCUUGAGAGCGGCGGACGGGUGAGUAAUGCCUAGGAAUCUGCCUGGUAGUGGGGGAUAACGUCCGGAAACGGACGCUAAUACCGCAUACGUCCUACGGGAGAAAGCAGGGGACCUUCGGGCCUUGCGCUAUCAGAUGAGCCUAGGUCGGAUUAGCUAGUUGGUGGGGUAAUGGCUCACCAAGGCGACGAUCCGUAACUGGUCUGAGAGGAUGAUCAGUCACACUGGAACUGAGACACGGUCCAGACUCCUACGGGAGGCAGCAGUGGGGAAUAUUGGACAAUGGGCGAAAGCCUGAUCCAGCCAUGCCGCGUGUGUGAAGAAGGUCUUCGGAUUGUAAAGCACUUUAAGUUGGGAGGAAGGGCAGUAAAUUAAUACUUUGCUGUUUUGACGUUACCGACAGAAUAAGCACCGGCUAACUCUGUGCCAGCAGCCGCGGUAAUACAGAGGGUGCAAGCGUUAAUCGGAAUUACUGGGCGUAAAGCGCGCGUAGGUGGUUCGUUAUGUUGGAUGUGAAAUCCCCGGGCUCAACCUGGGAACUGCAUUCAAAACUGACGAGCUAGAGUAUGGUAGAGGGUGGUGGAAUUUCCUGUGUAGCGGUGAAAUGCGUAGAUAUAGGAAGGAACACCAGUGGCGAAGGCGACCACCUGGACUGAUACUGACACUGAGGUGCGAAAGCGUGGGGAGCAAACAGG
This 701-nucleotide ribosomal RNA is filed under the name uncultured bacterium. Its description in RNAcentral is "bacterial SSU rRNA". It matches the Rfam family "Bacterial small subunit ribosomal RNA", at positions 79 to 776 of the family's 1533-position model. The record is from RNAcentral.